GGGAGCGGACCUGGGCUGGUGUCCAGUGCGGCCUUCAAAGCCGUUGKGGUGUCGCACGGCGGUGCCCGGUGGGUUCGAUUCCCAUGCGCUCCCGCCA
RNAcentral lists this transfer RNA (97 nucleotides) under Planctomycetota bacterium. RNAcentral describes it as "Planctomycetes bacterium tRNA-Sec". It matches the Rfam family "Selenocysteine transfer RNA". Lineage: Bacteria; Pseudomonadati; Planctomycetota. The record is from RNAcentral.